Molecule: ribosomal RNA, 391 nt
Filed under: uncultured bacterium
Lineage: Bacteria
Description: bacterial SSU rRNA
Rfam family: Bacterial small subunit ribosomal RNA
Source: RNAcentral
GUGUCAGCAGCCGCGGUAAUACGGAGGAUCCGAGCGUUAUCCGGAUUUAUUGGGUUUAAAGGGUGCGUAGGCGGCACAUUAAGUCAGGGGUGAAAUUCGGCAGCUCAACUGUCGGCGUGCCUUUGAUACUGGUGUGCUUGAAUUGGUUCGAGGUCGGCGGAAUGUGACAAGUAGCGGUGAAAUGCAUAGAUAUGUCACAGAACUCCAAUUGCGAAGGCAGUUGACCAGGUCCAUAUUGACGCUGAUGCACGAAAGCGUGGGUAUCGAACAGGAUUAGAUACCCUGGUAGUCCACGCCCUAAACUAUGAUAACUCGAUGUUGGCGAUAUAGUGUCAGUGUCCAAGCGAAAGCGUUAAGUUAUCCACCUGGGGAGUACGGCCGCAAGGCUGAA